RNAcentral lists this transfer RNA (69 nucleotides) under Narudasia festiva. RNAcentral describes it as "tRNA-Trp". Lineage: Eukaryota; Metazoa; Chordata; Lepidosauria; Squamata; Gekkonidae. The record is from RNAcentral.
AGAAACUUAGGUUACAACUAAACUUAGGGCCUUCAAACCCCUAAACAGGGGUAAGCCCCCUAGUUUCUG